RNAcentral lists this ribosomal RNA (531 nucleotides) under Nectriaceae sp. bc_besc_351controla. RNAcentral's name for it is "eukaryotic LSU rRNA". The stretch from base 163 to 316 matches the Rfam family "5.8S ribosomal RNA". The record is from RNAcentral. Lineage: Eukaryota; Fungi; Ascomycota; Sordariomycetes; Hypocreales; Nectriaceae.
CGGAGGGAUCAUUACCGAGUUUACAACUCCCAAACCCCUGUGAACAUACCAAUUGUUGCCUCGGCGGAUCAGCCCGCUCCCGGUAAAACGGGACGGCCCGCCAGAGGACCCCUAAACUCUGUUUCUAUAUGUAACUUCUGAGUAAAACCAUAAAUAAAUCAAAACUUUCAACAACGGAUCUCUUGGUUCUGGCAUCGAUGAAGAACGCAGCAAAAUGCGAUAAGUAAUGUGAAUUGCAGAAUUCAGUGAAUCAUCGAAUCUUUGAACGCACAUUGCGCCCGCCAGUAUUCUGGCGGGCAUGCCUGUUCGAGCGUCAUUUCAACCCUCAAGCCCCCGGGUUUGGUGUUGGGGAUCGGCGAGCCCUUGCGGCAAGCCGGCCCCGAAAUCUAGUGGCGGUCUCGCUGCAGCUUCCAUUGCGUAGUAGUAAAACCCUCGCAACUGGUACGCGGCGCGGCCAAGCCGUUAAACCCCCAACUUCUGAAUGUUGACCUCGGAUCAGGUAGGAAUACCCGCUGAACUUAAGCAUAUCAA